GAUGAGAAAAGUGAAGUGACCGAGAAGAGGAAUUUAAGUGUUGCCAGUGCCACAGAAUUUAUUGGACAUGGAAGAUUUCGACGAAGUAACACUUGCCACGCUCAGAGGUAUGUAUUGUUUUUUUCAAAUUGCAUUUCAACAUGAAAUUUAUGCUAUAACUAGCUAGUUCAUCAAGUUCAUCUAUGGCGCUAGUUAGCAUGGCUAGGUAUCACAAACUAGCCUAUUUACUGUACACUAAUGUCUCUGUUGCAACGUAGCUGGAAUAUUAUCCUCCCUUGUAAAUCGUUUUGGACAAAAUUGCCUGCUAAAUGACUAAAUGUAGAUAUUGAGGUGUCUGUGCUUUAUACUCAACAUCAGCUAAUAUCACUGAGGAUAUCCUGCGCACACUGUCUAGAGAUGACAUUAGGGAUCUCUUUCCUGGUCCAGACAGAGCACUUUCUUCGACGAAAAGAUGUUUGGCUCAAAAUCUACGUGGAGGACCAAAUCAUGGAUGAGUUUCGUUGAGUUGUUGAAAAGGACAACAUUGACUUCUUGAAAGACUUGAGAGAAAGAUGGGAUUCGUUCUAUAGUAAGGUCCAAUACUAUGGAGUGGUGAAGCAUGCAAUGAAGCCCCCCCCUGACCAUGGACAGUGUUGAACAUGCCAUCGCUGUCUUCACCGCUUUACCGCAGCUCUUUCCAUCAAAUUCGAAGGCACGCAGCCAAAUUGAGGCAAUUUUCCAUGUUUUAACGCCCUCGGAGAAUCCGGACGCUUUCCUGCGCACACAAGCAUACCCAGUUGUCCUGUUGGGAGAAGAAAACUGCCUUCUCGCCAUUGG
This is a long non-coding RNA of Sardina pilchardus (European sardine), 816 nucleotides long. RefSeq lists it as uncharacterized. The record is from RefSeq and is a predicted model, not a curated record. NCBI's taxonomy places the organism in Eukaryota, Metazoa, Chordata, Actinopteri, Clupeiformes, Clupeidae. The transcript has 4 exons.